This 393-nucleotide ribosomal RNA is filed under the name Diatoma tenuis. RNAcentral describes it as "partial small subunit ribosomal RNA". It matches the Rfam family "Eukaryotic small subunit ribosomal RNA", at positions 30 to 432 of the family's 1831-position model. Lineage: Eukaryota; Bacillariophyta; Fragilariophyceae; Tabellariales; Tabellariaceae. The record is from RNAcentral.
GCUUGUCUCAAAGAUUAAGCCAUGCAUGUCUAAGUGUAAAUAAGUCUAUACUGUGAAACUGCGAAUGGCUCAUUAAAUCAGUUAUCGUUUAUUUGAUGAUCUCUUACUACUUGGAUAACCGUAGUAAUUCUAGAGCUAAUACAUGCGUCAAUACCCUUCUGGGGUAGUAUUUAUUAGAUUGAAACCAACCGCUUCGGCGUGAUGUGGUGAUUCAUAAUAAAUUUGCGAAUCGCAUGGCUUUACGCCGGCGAUGGAUCAUUCAAGUUUCUGCCCUAUCAGCUUUCGAUGGUAGGGUAUUGGCCUACCAUGGCGUUAACGGGUAACGGAGAAUUAGGGUUCGAUUCCGGAGAGGGAGCCUGAGAAACGGCUACCACAUCCAAGGAAGGCAGCAGG